This 492-nucleotide ribosomal RNA is filed under the name uncultured bacterium. Its description in RNAcentral is "partial 16S ribosomal RNA". It matches the Rfam family "Bacterial small subunit ribosomal RNA", at positions 29 to 507 of the family's 1533-position model. The record is from RNAcentral.
AGUGAACGCUGGCGGUAGGCCUAACACAUGCAAGUCGAACGGCAGCACAGUAAGAGCUUGCUCUUACGGGUGGCGAGUGGCGGACGGGUGAGGAAUACAUCGUAAUCUACUUUUUCGUGGGGGAUAACGUAGGGAAACUUACGCUAAUACCGCAUACGACCUACGGGUGAAAGCAGGGGAUCUUCUGACCUUGCGCGAUUGAAUGAGCCGAUGUCGGAUUAGCUAGUUGGCGGGGUAAAGGCCCACCAAGGCGACGAUCCGUAGCUGGUCUGAGAGGAUGAUCAGCCACACUGGAACGGAGACACGGUCCAGACUCCUACGGGAGGCAGCAGUGGGGAAUAUUGGACAAUGGGCGCAAGCCUGAUCCAGCCAUACCGCGUGGGUGAAGAAGGCCUUCGGGUUGUAAAGCCCUUUUGUUGGGAAAGAAAAGCAGCAGGUUAAUACCCCGCUGUUCUGACGGUACCCAAAGAAUAAGCACCGGCUAACUUCGUG